Lingula anatina is the source of this 274-nucleotide long non-coding RNA. RefSeq lists it as uncharacterized. The record is from RefSeq and is a predicted model, not a curated record. NCBI's taxonomy places the organism in Eukaryota, Metazoa, Brachiopoda, Lingulata, Lingulida, Lingulidae.
AGGCACAUGCGCCACUUUCGGAACUUCACGACAUAGAAUUUCACACUUCGCAACAGGACCUGCAAAUACCGUUUCAGAUGUUUCUCAAUAAACUAAGCGCAACUUCGAUCGGUUUUAGCGCCAUGGGUUUGUUCACUAUUGACAAGCCCACCAUUUUGACGAUUGUCGGCAUGUUCCUGACGUAUUUUUUCCUGAUGGUUCAGUUCAAACCGUCAACAGAGGACGCAACUGCAGUGAACUCUACCAGUACUGGAUAGAACAGCCACGAAGUUUA